CUCUUUUCCUAAAUCUUGCUUCUCACUCAAAAAUUGCUGCUGCUGGAUAUCUCCCAUCAGCUUUCUUUGCUGAUUCACUUCAUGGAGCUUUAUCUUCCUCACCUGGAGCCACCCCCGCAGCUGUCAGCAUGGACGGCGGCUUGUCUGUGUCCUCAGACGCCUCUUCGGUCGCCUAGGCUUGUAAAGGGCGGCGGUGGCGUCCGUGCAGUUUCUUUGGUCGUUGUUUUCACCUCCUGCGGACCUGCAGCCCUAUUGCAUCUAGCUUGAGUAUGAGAUUGUUAGCUAUGUUUUCUUUCACAAGUGCACAAAGCAGACACAUCGUUUCUAUUUCUGUUCGAGGUAGCCCGGCACAUCAUCCUCAUCCUUCAUAGCGGUAACAUUCUUCAAAGUUCGACCUGAAGAUGAAGUUGUUGGCAUUACAACAGGAACCCACUAUCGAAUUUGAGAUUGUACUUACUUGAUAUGGUCUGACUGCUCGACGGAGCUCGCUUGUGCCCGCUGGAGGAAGACAAUUCUGAAGUGCCACUGGUUGGGGGAAGUUGACCUCAAAGUGUUGUUCGUCGGAGGAAGAUAAUGUAGAAAUUGUACCCUAAAACCUAGAGGACAAUGAGCCUCCGAGGCUUUGCAGAUUGAACUUACUUGAUAUGGUCUGAUUGCUCGACGGAGCUGACUUGUGCCCGCUGGAGGAAGACAAUUCUGAAGUGCCACUGGUUCGGGGAAGUUGACCUCAAAGUGUUGUUCGCCGGAGGAAGAUGAUGUAGAAAUUGUACCCUAAAACCUAGAGGACAAUGAACCUCUGAGGCCGUGGAAGCAUUGCAUGGGGAAGGUAGUCUAGGGAUGGCUGAGUUUACCAAGUUUGCACGAUGGAAAGAGAGAUAUUUUGUUUGCAGAGAUUGAAUCUUUGUACAUUAUUGAUGAUAGUUUGGAUUUGUUUGGGGAUAUUGUACAUGCAUGCGUCAGUUUUUUUGGA
Aegilops tauschii subsp. strangulata is the source of this 970-nucleotide long non-coding RNA. RefSeq lists it as uncharacterized. NCBI's taxonomy places the organism in Eukaryota, Viridiplantae, Streptophyta, Magnoliopsida, Poales, Poaceae. The record is from RefSeq and is a predicted model, not a curated record.